This 337-nucleotide unclassified non-coding RNA is filed under the name soil metagenome. RNAcentral's name for it is "partial contains 5.8S ribosomal RNA, internal transcribed spacer 2, and large subunit ribosomal RNA". The stretch from base 1 to 120 matches the Rfam family "5.8S ribosomal RNA", at positions 35 to 154 of the family's 154-position model. The record is from RNAcentral.
GAUGAAGAACGUAGCGAAAUGCGAUAAGUAGUGUGAAUUGCAGAAUUCAGUGAAUCAUCGAAUCUUUGAACGCACAUUGCGCCCCAUGGUAUUCCGUGGGGCAUGCCUGUUCGAGCGUCAUUUACCCCCUCAAGCUCCGCUUGGUGUUGGGCGUCUGUCCCGCUUCGCGCGCGGACUCGCCCCAAAGGUAUUGGCAGCGGUCGUGCCAGCUUCUCGCGCAGCACAUUGCGCUUCUCGAGGCACCGGUGGGCCCGCGUCCAUCAAGCUCACCCCCACAGUUUGACCUCGGAUCAGGUAGGGAUACCCGCUGAACUUAAGCAUAUCAAUAAGCGGAGGA